AACGCAAAUUGCGCUCGAGGCCUCGGCCGAGAGCAUGUCUGCCUCAGCGUCGUGCCCCAUCAUCUCCAACCUUAACGGGUGCGGAGGAUCUGGUCGUUUCGAGGGGUUCUCCUCGAAUCGGCCGAAAUGCAGACGGCCUCCUCGCUUGGAGCUUCGCAAGGUAGUUGUCUUCAUCGACAUCCCUCAAUCGGAGCACACUGGCGUGGGAGUGCUGUGAUCAGCCGGAAAAGCUAACCUAAGCAUUCGACCUGAGUUCAGGCAAGAGCACCCGCUGAACUUAA
This 281-nucleotide unclassified non-coding RNA is filed under the name Cladophialophora sp. RNAcentral describes it as "partial contains 5.8S ribosomal RNA, internal transcribed spacer 2, and large subunit ribosomal RNA". RNAcentral also lists the same sequence under 1 other name. The record is from RNAcentral. Lineage: Eukaryota; Fungi; Ascomycota; Eurotiomycetes; Chaetothyriales; Herpotrichiellaceae.